AGUCGUAACAAGGUUUCCGUAGGUGAACCUGCGGAAGGAUCAUUAACGAGUAAGGGUCCUGACCGGCCCGACCUCCAACCCUUUGUCGUUGAAAACCACUGUUGCUUUGGCGGGACAGCGGGUCCCCAGGGGCCCGCCGCCGGUCUUCGGCCCGGCGAGCGCCUGCCAGAGUCCAACCAUAAAUCUCGUCACAGAACAGUACGUCUGAGUAAAUUGAUAAAUCAAUCAAAA
RNAcentral lists this unclassified non-coding RNA (231 nucleotides) under plant metagenome. RNAcentral describes it as "partial contains small subunit ribosomal RNA and internal transcribed spacer 1". The stretch from base 1 to 45 matches the Rfam family "Eukaryotic small subunit ribosomal RNA", at positions 1787 to 1831 of the family's 1831-position model. The record is from RNAcentral.